This 64-nucleotide transfer RNA is filed under the name Elysia ornata (ornate elysia). RNAcentral describes it as "tRNA-Trp". It matches the Rfam family "tRNA". From Rfam's summary of the family: Transfer RNA (tRNA) molecules are approximately 80 nucleotides in length. Their secondary structure includes four short double-helical elements and three loops (D, anti-codon, and T loops). Lineage: Eukaryota; Metazoa; Mollusca; Gastropoda; Plakobranchidae. The record is from RNAcentral.
AAAACUAUAGGUUAAUUAGACCAUUGGCCUUCAAAGCCGAGAGUGGAGGUUCUUCCUGGUUUUG